AGCGGCGGACGGGUGAGUAACACGUGGGUAACCUGCCUGUAAGACUGGGAUAACUCCGGGAAACCGGGGCUAAUACCGGAUGCUUGUUUGAACCGCAUGGUUCAGACAUAAAAGGUGGCUUCGGCUACCACUUACAGAUGGACCCGCGGCGCAUUAGCUAGUUGGUGAGGUAACGGCUCACCAAGGCGACGAUGCGUAGCCGACCUGAGAGGGUGAUCGGCCACACUGGGACUGAGACACGGCCCAGACUCCUACGGGAGGCAGCAGUAGGGAAUCUUCCGCAAUGGACGAAAGUCUGACGGAGCAACGCCGCGUGAGUGAUGAAGGUUUUCGGAUCGUAAAGCUCUGUUGUUAGGGAAGAACAAGUGCCGUUCAAAUAGGGCGGCACCUUGACGGUACCUAACCAGAAAGCCACGGCUAACUACGUGCCAGCAGCCGCGGUAAUACGUAGGUGGCAAGCGUUGUCCGGAAUUAUUGGGCGUAAAGGGCUCGCAGGCGGUUUCUUAAGUCUGAUGUGAAAGCCCCCGGCUCAACCGGGGAGGGUCAUUGGAAACUGGGGAACUUGAGUGCAGAAGAGGAGAGUGGAAUUCCACGUGUAGCGGUGAAAUGCGUAGAGAUGUGGAGGAACACCAGUGGCGAAGGCGACUCUCUGGUCUGUAACUGACGCUGAGGAGCGAAAGCGUGGGGAGCGAACAGGAUUAGAUACCCUGGUAGUCCACGCCGUAAACGAUGAGUGCUAAGUGUUAGGGGGUUUCCGCCCCUUAGUGCUGCAGCUAACGCAUUAAGCACUCCGCCUGGGGAGUACGGUCGCAAGACUGAAACUCAAAGGAAUUGACGGGGGCCCGCACAAGCGGUGGAGCAUGUGGUUUAAUUCGAAGCAACGCGAAGAACCUUACCAGGUCUUGACAUCCUCUGACAAUCCUAGAGAUAGGACGUCCCCUUCGGGGGCAGAGUGACAGG
This 960-nucleotide ribosomal RNA is filed under the name Bacillus amyloliquefaciens. RNAcentral describes it as "bacterial SSU rRNA". It matches the Rfam family "Bacterial small subunit ribosomal RNA", at positions 94 to 1038 of the family's 1533-position model. Lineage: Bacteria; Bacillati; Bacillota; Bacilli; Caryophanales; Bacillaceae. The record is from RNAcentral.